CGUUUUCUAUUAUUUUAUUUUCUCCGUUCCGUUCUUCCUUCUCCUCCUUAUCCUCCUCUUUUCCGACCUCCUCGCACCCGCAGAGAGCCUCGCCGGAGUAGUAGGAGCGGCAAGCAGGAGCGAAAGACGAGAGUGGUGAUGUCUACUUUGCCGGAUGCUGAAUUAGUCAAUGCCCUUCGCUCCCAAAUACAUUCUCUUCUGAUGAGAGUCAACGUACUUCUCUCUCUCCGUCCCCCUCUCUCGCGCGCGCCCGCCAUUGGAAACAUCAAGGAAUGUCUACUUCGCCAGAUGUCUGUGAUCGCCAAAUGCGUGAAAUUAUCCGGGAAUUGGCUCGAAGAAUCCCGGGUCUGAGCAAACGGAGAAUUUCAUUUCAAGCAUCAAGCUUGCUACUGUAUGGGUCUUAGGCCAAAGUGCGAGUUCCCCUGAAGCUUAGCUCGAUCAAGCGUGCAUUUCUCACAUGUACGUGGGAGUUUAAAUAUGCCUGCAUAAGUUGUGCAUGCAAGCCUUGUCGGCUUCGCGGCUUGCACAUUGCAUCUCAGGAGCUACAAGAGCAAAAUGCCAAGCUUUCUUCUCGACUCUAUAGAUGGUGCUGUCGAAUGAAACAAUUGAGUCGUGGGCAUGAGCUGGAGAGAUAUGUGAAUUUGCGGCGAAAGCAUUUUGGCUAAUCUAGAAACGGAGAUGGAAGUGGCGAUAGUCUUUCAGUGACUUUCAUCACUUCCAACACGAUAUUCCAGAGGUUAUUUCUUCGUUCUCAUGGGUUCAAGUUCGUUCAUUUUGCUAUGUUCCGUAGGUAGGAGUCUGACUUCUGAACUUGGGCUCCUACAAGACUUGGCAUCAAGCAGUAUCGCCAGUCAAUAUGUCUCUGAAUCAUUUCCGUCUUCCAGGGGCAUGAAUCUUAGGAGCUAUUAUGCAAAUCCCCUAUCUUUGUGAGAUGGCUCCUCAGCUGAUGUUCAUUGGAAUCCGCUUUUUGGAUUAGGAUUUGAGCUUGCUCGUCUGUCGUUUCUCAUGUUUCAUGUAUCGCUCCAGUCUGGUUCCUGAUGCUCUCUUUCUGGAGUCUCUCAUCAAAGUUCAAACUUUCUGUUUCGUGGAAGAACUUGAGGAUGUUGUUCAUACAUUUGCCCUGUCUUGGACUCACGAUGGCAAGUAAGUCGAUCUUUUAGAGGCUUUAAUUGGGUUAGAGCAAAACAUGGUUAAAAUAACAUCUUUGCACUGGGGAAAGGAGGAGGAGAAGGCCCUCAUGGAAAACUCUCAUGAACAGAACUGGAGACUUGCUGAGAUGAGGGCAUUUAAUUGGAAAUUGUCCUGUGAUCGACAAGGGCGCAAUGGACCAUAAUCUGCUGUGGGGGAAAGACUGCCGAGGGGUAUUUCCAGAAGAAUCGGAACAUCGAUGCAAUCACCUAGUAUCAUCAAGUUUCUUCUAUCCGAAUCUCCAUCAUCAGCUGUGGCCUAAACUCAUCAGAUGAAAACGAUUUUAUCUUGCAGGUCAUGGUUGAUAUGGAGGAAGAAACACUGUUGGUGGAUGGUGUCUUGGUGGCGUCGUAUUCCGGGGAUCCUCUUCAGGGAACAGUCGCUGCAAGAGGCCAACUUAUUGAGCUGGAGAUGAGGGCAGUCCCUUCUUUCAUGGCUAAUAAUUUGAGUGACUAUAGGGGCACAUUAUUUGCGGUACAAUUAUAUGAUGGUGACUAAUUCAAUUCCAAAUAAAUCGUGGGCUCUCUCUAAAACUGGACUCAGAGCAUCCAAGUUUCUGAGGGCAAAAGAGCUAUUAUGAUGGACCUAGUUGUUGAAUGUUGGCUUACCUGCUUGUGCUCCCUUAUUGCAAUAUGAUAAGUUGAGGUCUGCUAGUAGUUUUCCCUGAUCGUGUUUUACAGUAAGUGGGUAAUAGGUAUACGGUUUGAUGUCAAGGGGUAUUGAAGUCCACUUGAAACCCUCGUGGCUUGUAAGGUCAUAACUGGUCAUGGGAUUUUUUUGUGAAUUAUGACAGUUGAAACUUGAAAUUUGCUCAUCCAAAUGUUCAAACCGGCUACAUGU
Molecule: long non-coding RNA, 2028 nt
Organism: Eucalyptus grandis
Lineage: Eukaryota; Viridiplantae; Streptophyta; Magnoliopsida; Myrtales; Myrtaceae
Exons: 3
Source: RefSeq, a predicted model, not a curated record